GAUAAAUACAUUUAUUAACAUCAUACAUUUUUUCAUACAUACUUUAAUAUAUGUAUGCGUUAAAAUAUUUUUUAAAUGACUAUGAUCUGAUGGUAGUAGAGAUUGAUUUUACUUGAAAAUAUUAACUUCAUACAUAUCAAAUGCAUCAUCCUUAACUAUAUAAUUUGUUUGCAAAAGGCUUGCUGAAGUAUAAACAAAAAAUAAAGAAGCAGUUUUUCAUACUUUACACACUUAUAAAGAGUUGCUGGCUAGCAGGAAGACAAUUGACUUAUUUUAUAAUGAAAAUUUACUUUGAUCUUUUGAAGGCUAGUACUAUGUAGGACAUUUUCCAGAAGACCAGAGAUACUUCA
RNAcentral lists this long non-coding RNA (350 nucleotides) under Bos taurus (domestic cattle). Its description in RNAcentral is "long non-coding RNA NONBTAT025556". The record is from RNAcentral. Lineage: Eukaryota; Metazoa; Chordata; Mammalia; Artiodactyla; Bovidae.